RNAcentral lists this ribosomal RNA (253 nucleotides) under uncultured bacterium. Its description in RNAcentral is "partial 16S ribosomal RNA". It matches the Rfam family "Bacterial small subunit ribosomal RNA", at positions 524 to 776 of the family's 1533-position model. The record is from RNAcentral.
UACGUAGGGGGCUAGCGUUGUCCGGAUUUAUUGGGCGUAAAGAGCGUGUAGGCGGCCAGGUAGGUCUGCUGUGAAAACUCGAGGCUCAACCUCGAGAUGUCGGCGGAAACCAUCUGGCUAGAGUCCGGAAGAGGAAAGUGGAAUUCCUGGUGAAGCGGUGAAAUGCGCAGAUAUCAGGAAGAACACCCGUGGCGAAGGCGGCUUUCUGGGACGGUACUGACGCUGAGACGCGAAAGCGUGGGGAGCGAACAGG